GAUGAACGCUGGCGGUGUGUCUAAUACAUGCAAGUCGAGCGGGUUAUAUGUUUAAACUUCAUGGUGAUGGUAUGGACUUUUUUCCGGUUAAUUCUGGUCUUCUGCCCUCGCCAUCAUCAUGGGUUUAAAAUAUGUGAUCAGCGGCAGACGGGUGAGGAACACGUUGGAAUCUGCCCCAAAGUGAGGGAUAAUCUGCCGAAAGGCGGACUAAUACCGCAUGUGCCCGCAAGGGUAAAGCUUUAUGCGCUUUGGGAGGAGCCUGCGUAAUAUCAGCUAGUUGGUGAGGUAAUGGCUCACCAAGGCUAUGACGUUUAGCUGGUCUGAGAGGAUGGCCAGCCACAAGGGAACUGAGACACGGU
Molecule: ribosomal RNA, 359 nt
Filed under: uncultured bacterium
Lineage: Bacteria
Description: bacterial SSU rRNA
Rfam family: Bacterial small subunit ribosomal RNA
Source: RNAcentral